This 332-nucleotide long non-coding RNA is filed under the name Populus trichocarpa (black cottonwood). RNAcentral's name for it is "long non-coding RNA (PTRI_LNC000634)". Lineage: Eukaryota; Viridiplantae; Streptophyta; Magnoliopsida; Malpighiales; Salicaceae. The record is from RNAcentral.
UGAUGCUGUCCUCCUCCCUGCAUCUGCCUCCCUAAGUGAGGUGAUUGUUGGAGUACUGGACACCGGUGUCUGGCCAGAGAUAAAAAGCUUUGGUGACACAGGGCUUGGCCCAAUACCAAGUACCUGGAAAGGUUCUUGUCAGGUGGGUAAGAACUUCAAUUCAUCAAGCUGUAACCGGAAACUGAUAGGUGCACAAUAUUUCUCAAAAGGGUAUGAAGCAGCAUUCGGACCUAUUGACGAAACAAUGGAGUCAAAAUCACCAAGAGACGAUGAUGGCCAUGGAACCCACACUGCAACUACAGCAGCUGGAUCAGCUGUCUCAGGAGCUAGCC